CCGGAGAACUCGGUCCCGCCUCCAGAGCGGAGAGCCACUUGGCGGGGAGGGAGUGGCAUUGAGCUGAGGCAGGAGGCGUGGGCUGGCCCGAGAAACCGGCGCUGAAGUCUCAGUUUGCGUUUUGCUCUUGGUUAUGCCCCACUGUCCCGACGCCUCACUCGCUUCUGCCCCCGCGGACAGCGUUCACUCUCUGGGUCUUAGUCUUUUAUCUCAGGGCAGAUCAGGUCAGCAGCUAGGAAUGAAGACCCUUCACUGACCCGUCCCCAGGCCCACCUCAUCCCUGCUGUUGCAACAUCCCUGCUGUUUCUUAAUCACAGAGUCCCCUAAAAGACCCAGAAUCAAGAACCACCCCCCCCCCCGCGUAAAUGUCCUAUUGCCAGAAGAGCAAUAGGACAGGGGCAUGGGAGCCCUCUGGAACCCAAGACCGCCUAGCCCCAAGGUCUGCCCUGGGCCCAUGGUGUGCUGGAUGGGCUGGGGCAAACUCUUCAGUUCUCAGGAAUCUUGCCAGCCAGCUGUUAAUCACGGA
RNAcentral lists this long non-coding RNA (526 nucleotides) under Homo sapiens (human). RNAcentral describes it as "HSALNT0183448". Lineage: Eukaryota; Metazoa; Chordata; Mammalia; Primates; Hominidae. The record is from RNAcentral.